Long non-coding RNA from Ornithorhynchus anatinus (platypus), 457 nucleotides. RefSeq lists it as uncharacterized. The record is from RefSeq and is a predicted model, not a curated record. Lineage: Eukaryota; Metazoa; Chordata; Mammalia; Monotremata; Ornithorhynchidae. The transcript is spliced from 3 exons.
CUGAAGAUUUUUCCUGGGGUCACUGACUGCCUUCUGUUAACUACAGCUGAUCAAUAUUGUUCAACAAAUGAGGAAAGAUGGAAAAAAUGGCGGGAAUCUCUGGUGGUGUCAGUCAAGUGGCAAAGCCAAGGAGGAUCUAGGUGGAAAAAGAUUCCCCUCCAAACUCCACCCUGGGACAUUUUCUUAUAACCUCUUGGAGCUCAGCUGUAAACAAGCCUUCACCAAAGUCACCAGGUGAUGUCGAUGGAAAUUCCAAGAACUAUGAAAUCCCCACAGGCCAUGGAAAAAAUUUCCUCUUUUCUAGCAAUUUUCAUAUCACUUAGACUUAAAUGACUUUUGCAAUUGUCUAAUGCCCCUGAUUCUCAACAGUCAAGCCCAUACAAAAGCUAUUUUCUAACCACCACAGAAAGAUCCCUUCAGAACAAGAAGCAGCUUAGUCUCAUGGACAGAGCACUGG